CAGUAGCCGCGGUAAUACGUAGGUGGCGAGCGUUGUCCGGAAUCAUUGGGCGUAAAGGGGGCGCAGGCGGGCAUGUAAGUCUUUCUUAAAAGUGCGGGGCUCAACCCCGUGAUGGGAAAGAAACUACAUGUCUUGAGUACAGGAGAGGAAAGCGGAAUUCCCAGUGUAGCGGUGAAGUGCGUAGAUAUUGGGAGGAACACCAGUGGCGAAGGCGGCUUUCUGGACUGCAACUGACGCUGAGGCUCGAAAGCCAGGGGAGCGAACGGGAUUAGAGACCCCUGUAGUCCCUGUCUCUUAUACA
RNAcentral lists this ribosomal RNA (301 nucleotides) under uncultured bacterium. Its description in RNAcentral is "partial 16S ribosomal RNA". It matches the Rfam family "Bacterial small subunit ribosomal RNA", at positions 509 to 809 of the family's 1533-position model. The record is from RNAcentral.